Molecule: long non-coding RNA, 244 nt
Organism: Mytilus trossulus (common blue mussel)
Lineage: Eukaryota; Metazoa; Mollusca; Bivalvia; Mytilida; Mytilidae
Exons: 3
Source: RefSeq, a predicted model, not a curated record
CAAAUGCCCCGAUUAUACAUGUUCCUCAAGCGAAUAUUACACAGGAUGUCACCCAAAAGGAUGCGACAUAAAAAGCUGCCCGAAUUAUCCGAACGCUUAUUGCUGUAACAAUUAUUGUGGCGGAUGCAAUGCUGUGUUUUAUACUAGAGGAAAAGGUAGAAAGAUACCAUAUUCACAGUGUGACAGUGAUGGAAAGUAAAUAUGAAGACAAGAAACAGAGUGAAUAUUUAUAGAAAAGGACAAA